RNAcentral lists this ribosomal RNA (253 nucleotides) under uncultured bacterium. RNAcentral's name for it is "partial 16S ribosomal RNA". It matches the Rfam family "Bacterial small subunit ribosomal RNA", at positions 524 to 776 of the family's 1533-position model. The record is from RNAcentral.
UACGGAGGGAGCUAGCGUUGUUCGGAAUUACUGGGCGUAAAGCGCGCGUAGGCGGCUUAUCAAGUCAGGGGUGAAAUCCCGGGGCUCAACCCCGGAACUGCCUCUGAAACUGGUAGACUAGAAUCCUGGAGAGGCGAGUGGAAUUCCGAGUGUAGAGGUGAAAUUCGUAGAUAUUCGGAAGAACACCAGUGGCGAAGGCGACUCGCUGGACAGGUAUUGACGCUGAGGUGCGAAAGCGUGGGGAGCAAACAGG